RNAcentral lists this unclassified non-coding RNA (344 nucleotides) under uncultured Mortierella. RNAcentral's name for it is "sequence contains ITS2". The record is from RNAcentral. Lineage: Eukaryota; Fungi; Mortierellomycota; Mortierellomycetes; Mortierellales; Mortierellaceae.
AACGCAUAUUGCGCUCUUUGGUAUUCCGAAGAGCAUGCUUGUUUGAGUAUCAGUAAACACCUCAAAGAAUUUUCUUUUUUGAAAUGACUUUGGACUUGAGCAAUCCCAACACCAGUCUUCACGGAUCGGCGGAGGGUUGCUUGAAAUGCAGGUGCAGCUGGACAUUCUCCUGAGCUAAAAGCAUAUCUAUUUAGUCCCGUCAAACGGAUUAUUACUUUUGCUGCAGCUAACAUAAAGGGAGUUUGACCGUUUUGGCUGACUGAUGCAGGAUUUCACAAGGAUCGGUAAAACGAUUUUUUGUAAAACUCGAUCUCAAAUCAAGUAAGACUACCCGCUGAACUUAA